This 441-nucleotide ribosomal RNA is filed under the name uncultured ammonia-oxidizing beta proteobacterium. Its description in RNAcentral is "bacterial SSU rRNA". It matches the Rfam family "Bacterial small subunit ribosomal RNA", at positions 198 to 620 of the family's 1533-position model. The record is from RNAcentral. Lineage: Bacteria; Pseudomonadati; Pseudomonadota; Betaproteobacteria.
GGAGGAAAGCAGGGGAUCGUAAGACCUUGCGCUUUUGGAGUGGCCGAUGCCUGAUUAGCUAGUUGGUGGGGUAAGAGCCUACCAAGGCGACGAUCAGUAGUUGGUCUGAGAGGACGACCAGCCACACUGGGACUGAGACACGGCCCAGACUCCUACGGGAGGCAGCAGUGGGGAAUUUUGGACAAUGGGCGGAAGCCUGAUCCAGCAAUGCCGCGUGAGUGAAGAAGGCCUUCGGGUUGUAAAGCUCUUUCAGUCGAGAAGAAAAGGUUGCGACUAAUAAUCGCAACUUAUGACGGUAUCGACAGAAGAAGCACCGGCUAACUACGUGCCAGCAGCCGCGGUAAUACGUAGGGUGCGAGCGUUAAUCGGAAUUACUGGGCGUAAAGGGUGCGCAGGCGGAUCUGUAAGUCAGAUGUGAAAUCCCCGGGCUUAACCUGGGAA